AUCCCUGUGGCUCAGUUGGUAGAGCAUGGUGUUUGCAACGCCAGCAUGGUGUGUGCAACGCCAGGGUUGUGGGUUUGAUUCCCACGGGGGGCC
Molecule: non-coding RNA, 93 nt
Organism: Salmo salar (Atlantic salmon)
Lineage: Eukaryota; Metazoa; Chordata; Actinopteri; Salmoniformes; Salmonidae
Source: Rfam